This 460-nucleotide ribosomal RNA is filed under the name uncultured bacterium. Its description in RNAcentral is "partial 16S ribosomal RNA". It matches the Rfam family "Bacterial small subunit ribosomal RNA", at positions 338 to 795 of the family's 1533-position model. The record is from RNAcentral.
CCUACGGGUGGCAGCAGUGAGGAAUAUUGGUCAAUGGUCGGAAGACUGAACCAGCCAAGCCGCGUGAGGGAGGAAGGUACAGAGUAUCGUAAACCUCUUUUGUCAGGGAACAAAGGCGGGGACGUGUCCCCGGUUGAGUGUACCUGAAGAAAAAGCAUCGGCUAACUCCGUGCCAGCAGCCGCGGUAAUACGGAGGGUGCGAGCGUUAUCCGGAUUUAUUGGGUUUAAAGGGUGCGCAGGCCGUCUGUCAAGUGUGCGGUGAAAGGCCCGGGCUCAACCCCGGCCCCGCGGUGGAAACUGGCAGUCUCGAGUUGGAGAGAAGUAUGCGGAAUGCGCGGUGUAGCGGUGAAAUGCAUAGAUAUCGCGCAGAACUCCGAUUGCGAAGGCAGCAUGCCGGCUCCACACUGACGCUGAGGCACGAAAGCGUGGGUAUCGAACAGGAUUAGAUACCCCUGUAGUC